This 466-nucleotide ribosomal RNA is filed under the name uncultured bacterium. Its description in RNAcentral is "bacterial SSU rRNA". It matches the Rfam family "Bacterial small subunit ribosomal RNA", at positions 28 to 524 of the family's 1533-position model. The record is from RNAcentral.
GACGAACGCUGGCGGCGUGCCUAAACAUGCAAGUCGAACGGUGUAGCAAUACACAGUGGCGAACGGCGGAGUAAUACAUAAGCAACGUGCCCUGAAGACUGGGAUAGUCAGAGGAAACUCUGGGUAAUGCCGGAUGUGGCCAUCACGAGGCAUCUCGAGAUGAUUAAAUGGUUUUCCGCUUCAGGAGCGGCUUAUGGCCUAUCAGGUAGUUGGUGAGGUAACGGCUCACCAAGGCGACGAUCAGUAGCUGGUCUGAGAGGAUGAUCAGCCACAUUGGGACUGAGACACGGCCCAAACUCCUACGGGAGGCAGCAGUGGGGAAUAUUGGACAAUGGGCGAAAGCCUGAUCCAGCCAUGCCGCGUGAGUGAUGAAGGCCCUAGGGUUGUAAAGCUCUUUUGUGCGGGAAGAUAAUGACGGUACCGCAAGAAUAAGCCCGGCUAACUUCGUGCCAGCCGCCGCAGUAAG